AUGAAGCAUCUGGCAUCACAUUGGUCCAAGAGUGAGGAUACUGUGAUGACAAAUGCUGGGGUGACAGCAUUGGUUCCACUGUUACAGAGACAUCCAGAUGGAGCUUGUCCUCACAGACAGACACCUGGUAAGUUACCAAGGGUCUUCUUUAUGUCCAUCCGAAGCUGGAAAGAAUCAAUUCCAUGUCCUCUAGCCUUCCCUGUGCUCAGCUCUGAAGAUAGCAAGCAGCUGUCUGGGCAGCCAUUCCUUGGGAUCUGUCCCCUGUUCAGCAUGGCUUUGAUGCCAGAAGACCAGACCUAGCCAAACAUAUGGACCUACAGCCUAGUAAAGCCCACAGCUGGGCCAUUGGCUGACUUUUCCUCUGUUCCUUGGAAUAUUCUGGCAAUUCUAAAAUAGUUUCAGCAACUUAUAGACAUUUUCCCAGGAUAUUCUGGUCUCUAAGGGAACAAUCUGCUCUUUUCUCACACUUUUAAAUCCCUUUUCUUGGAAGACCAGUUCUUGUGUAAGUGUACACACACACACACACACACACACACACACACACACACACACACACUUAAUUUGGCCCUGGAUAUGAUUA
This 580-nucleotide long non-coding RNA is filed under the name Cricetulus griseus (Chinese hamster). RNAcentral's name for it is "lncRNA (ENSCGRG00000025080.1)". The record is from RNAcentral. Lineage: Eukaryota; Metazoa; Chordata; Mammalia; Rodentia; Cricetidae.